This is a long non-coding RNA of Solea senegalensis (Senegalese sole), 671 nucleotides long. RefSeq lists it as uncharacterized. The transcript has 3 exons. NCBI's taxonomy places the organism in Eukaryota, Metazoa, Chordata, Actinopteri, Pleuronectiformes, Soleidae. The record is from RefSeq and is a predicted model, not a curated record.
UUGUUUUUCCUGCAGCGACGUCAGUGAGAACAGUCAUGCUACAGCCGAGAGCAAGUUAAUGCUGAUAAUCAGCUAAAGAGUGGAUAGAACGUUAUUUUGUUUCGCGUUAUUGGUUCUGAAAGGUAUCCGCACCGAGGAGGACGUGUUUUGGGCUGCACGACAUCGUCAUUUUAUCGUGUUUUGUCGAGAGAAAACUCCGAUUUUUCUAAUUCUGUUGUUUUUUUCUGUUUUACGGACGAGUGGUGAAAUAUAAACCUCCACUAACUCAUAACCAGGUUAGAGAUCACCCAGAUCUAUCAUCACUAACCCACUCACUGAUUCCUCCGACACUCCUCGUUCUCUCCGUCUUCUGUGAGGUUGGCGUGACGUUGUGGAUCCGUGGAUGAAAGCUCAGAUUAUCAGCGCGGCCAGAUUAAAACACCUGAGGAGAGAAGGAGAGGUCAGAUCUCACACAUGAAUCAAACCUGAUGUUAUAUUCAGAUAAAGGCUCGUGUUCCACUCUCUUCUCCUCACAUGUUUACUUCUGUAAAAGUAGGUUUGAUAAAAUAACAUUAAAAACAUGAGACUCAUGAAAAGGAGUUGAACGAGUUAAAAUGGAGACGUUUGGUAACUUCCUGUUUCUUUGUUUUUAUCAGCCAAACUUUAUUUAUACGACGCAAACAGUACAGGAA